UAAACCUCUUUUCUCAAGGAAGAAGUUCUGACGGUACUUGAGGAAUCAGCCUCGGCUAACUCCGUGCCAGCAGCCGCGGUAAUACGGGAGGAGGCAAGCGUUAUCCGGAAUUAUUGGGCGUAAAGCGUCCGCAGGUGGUCAGCCAAGUCUGCCGUCAAAUCAGGUUGCUUAACGACCUAAAGGCGGUGGAAACUGGCAGACUAGAGAGCAGUAGGGGUAGCAGGAAUUCCCAGUGUAGCGGUGAAAUGCGUAGAGAUUGGGAAGAACAUCGGUGGCGAAAGCGUGCU
RNAcentral lists this ribosomal RNA (287 nucleotides) under uncultured Microcystis sp. RNAcentral describes it as "partial 16S ribosomal RNA". It matches the Rfam family "Bacterial small subunit ribosomal RNA", at positions 426 to 727 of the family's 1533-position model. Lineage: Bacteria; Bacillati; Cyanobacteriota; Cyanophyceae; Chroococcales; Microcystaceae. The record is from RNAcentral.